CCUGGGCCGGACGUGUCUCCGGAGUGUCCAGCAACAAUUUGUGCAUUCAUGCAUGAGUUGUUGCUGGACAUUCCUAAUUAAUAAAGUUUACUCCAAACAUCACCCCAUGUGCAGCGCUAUCAUUAAAAAGGUUACUCUCAACCUUACAAGCAGUACUCAACUUCCGCCUGGAAAACAGAAGUUCCUCCAGCAGCCAGUAGAGACGCAGUGAAGAAAUACUCGUCCUCGAGUAACCAACACACUCUACUGGAAAACGAUCCGGCGACCUACUGCACAUUUAUUGUUAUUUUUGAAUCGGCCCAAAAUACUGUUGACAUUACAGUUAUUUUUAUUUAAUACCAUCUUGAGUUCUUGUUCUCGCUUGUGUUUAAGUGUCAACAGUAUUCGUGUACUCUACCGGUGUAUUAGUUUAUCCCCGGACCGCAGGGACAGUCUGAUUGUAACACUAGUCCUGGGAGCUGGCCUAAAGGAGUGAGAUCUACUAGAUGUGAAUGUAAUGGCUUUGAAGCCAACACUAA
Molecule: long non-coding RNA, 518 nt
Organism: Manduca sexta (tobacco hornworm)
Lineage: Eukaryota; Metazoa; Arthropoda; Insecta; Lepidoptera; Sphingidae
Exons: 2
Source: RefSeq, a predicted model, not a curated record